CGAAGGGGGCUAGCGUUGCUCGGAAUGACUGGGCGUAAAGGGCGCGUAGGCGGUUUGGUUUGUUAGGUGUGAAAUUCCUGGGCUUAACCUGGGGGCUGCACUUAAGACGGCCAGGCUUGAGUGUGAAAGAGGGUCGUGGAAUUCCCAGUGUAGAGGUGAAAUUCGUAGAUAUUGGGAAGAACACCGGUGGCGAAGGCGGCGACCUGGUUCAUUACUGACGCUGAGGCGCGAAAGCGUGGGGAGCAAACAGGAUUAGAUACCCUGGUAGUCCACGCUGUAAACGAUGUGUGCUGGAUGUUGGGUGACCUAGUCACUCAGUGUCGUAGCUAACGCGAUAAGCACACCGCCUGGGGAGUACGGCCGCAAGGUUG
RNAcentral lists this ribosomal RNA (371 nucleotides) under uncultured organism. RNAcentral describes it as "bacterial SSU rRNA". It matches the Rfam family "Bacterial small subunit ribosomal RNA", at positions 526 to 896 of the family's 1533-position model. The record is from RNAcentral.